UCCCAGACACAAUAUUUAGCACCUUUGGCAAGGUGUUGGACAAUUUAAUUCAUGGAAAAAUAAAUUAACUGUGUUCUAAAUAUAGCAGAAUCCUGAGUUGUUGACAGUUUAGUUGAUCUGUUUUAAUUUUUAAAGUUAUAAAUUCUGAAACUGUUCCGCCGUGAAGGUAAGGCUUAAUAUGAUUCUUUUUUGGGGGUGCAACUUUUCCGUUGUGGCCAUUUUGGACUACAGGAAGUGGUGUUUUUGAAUUUAUGAUUGUCUGACUUAGAUUAUUCUCUAUUUUGUUUUAUUGCUGGAUUUUAACUAGAUCUACUGGCACGUGAGUAGGCAUUCAGUCGGUUUGUUUUCUUUUUUUUUUAGAUGGUGACAAUUUUUCAUUAAAACAAGGAAAGCGUUUUAAUUUCAGUCUAAAUUCUUUCAACAGAAAGCGUUUGUGUUUCAUAGAGAAUCGCGGAUGACGCCAGAGUGAGUAGAAUCAAUAGCACGCCUCUUGACCCUCCUAUACAGACAUGCGCAGAAGGGCUUGUAAAUCGUUUCAAUUAAAUGUAUGCGACUUACCAGAUUAAUAAACGACUGGAAGUUAAUGCUGCUUUACCAAAAUAUAUUUCCGGAUAAUUUGAAAAAUACUGCAAUGCUAUUGGACAAAACAUAAUUUCAUACACUAAAUAUGUUUUAAAAGCUAUCUUUGAGGAUUUAUUGUGCAAUAUUUUUAUAAAUAUUGGACGAAGAAUAAGUAUGUGGGGAAGUUUUGAAAAAUAUAUAUAAACUGUCGACCUGGUCACGACCAUGUGAUAAUUACGCUACACCGGUGUCCUGAUUAAUAAGGUCACACACCGGUAUGCCUACAUAGCGGAAACACCUUUUAUGCAAAGAAGACCACUUUAAAUAGCAAAAUCAGCAGGGUGGAAGCUUAGAAGAUACUCAUGUUCCGUGAUAACAUCAGUAAAAUCAACUUAGUCUCUAAAGUCGUAUUUUUCCAGGUACUCGCCUCCUUCUUCACGGCGUGUUUACAUCUUUUUUGUACGUAAAAGUUCGUUACUUAUACCAAAAAGUGAAGGUACCUCAAGUUUUGUACCAACAAUAUAGAAUUGAUCAUACACCGAGAUAUUGGACCUACUGUAUAUCGUCAGCUAAGUUAAGGUCGUCAGUAGUUUAGUGCGACCCACUAAAGAUGGAGCGUGUCCAAGCUAUGGAAAACAAAUGGUUGAAGACAUACAUCUAUUUGCAUAUGUCUAAGCCCCUUGCCUGGUUCAUGACUAGCAGUUUUCUCAUUCCUGAUGACACUCAAUCGUCAGACUUGGAUUGUCAAGAGGCAACAGACCUGAUUGAAAAUUUCAUAAGAUAUAAUUAUCAUGGUCAGUCUGCUUUCAAGCUUGAAUUUCUAUGUCCAUUAUUUAUUUAUUAUAGUGUUUUCUAUGUUUGAAAUAUUAACAAAAACAAAUAAAGCUGAACAUAUGUAAGAUUUUAGAAACACAUGCAAUACGUGUAAAAAUAUAUUUUGUAAAAGUCAUUUGCUGACACCCUGUAUGUAGUUGUUUUCAAUUUUUAACAUUCCCCCGCCCCCCCCCCCCCCCCCGCCACCACCCGUGUCCAAGUACCAUUGUUGCAGAAUACGUAUAUAAUAAUUAUUUACAAAGGCGUGUAAAAUAUUUUGUAGCGUCACUGGGGGGAAGCAUGUUUCAAACAUAAAAAUGAUUAAUGUUCAUAUUUCAAUAGAAAUAAAAUGAGAAAUGUCUACGAGGUUUUCUUUUUUUGUUCACAAACUUCUAAAAGGCGUAAGUAGGAUUUAUAUAGGCAGAUGGCCCCCAAUUUUUGAAAUAUAAAAAUAUCGAUGACAGUGUUUAAAAUCGACAGUUUUCAUUAAAAUAAACUUUAAACUACCGAGCUACGUCAUUUUCAAAAUUAACACAUUCUCAGUAUUGAUGCAAAAUGAGUUUAAAGUACGACCGGUACAGGCAUUUCGUGUUAAAUUGCUGAAUUCUGUCAUUUCAGACUCAAAACUCGCUUAUUAGCAACCCUUGCUCCGGUUAACAAUUUAUAACACUAUUUUAUUUGUUAAUUCCAUUUAAUAUUUUCCUAACCAGAAACCGAAGCAAGGGUUGCUAAUAAACGAAUUUUGGAAAAAAAUGAUAAUAUUUGUCUGGCCUUUCUGACGUAUACGAGUGGCCUCCCUGUUCGUUGCCAGGCAAUAUUAUAGGUGGCACCACUGUCAACAUGUGCAUGUGAAAACGAAAGUAGAUCUAGGAUCUAGGAAUUAUAACAACCUUUUACCCUUCUAAAUGGAAUUUAUAAGGGGUAGCAAGUGACUGGUUUCUGGAAACACCUUCAGCAAAACACGUAUACCUUCGUGAGCCUGUCAAGACAUUUUGUUAAUGCUAAGUGUAAUAUAUUGAUUGCAGAUUUAAUUAUUAGGAUGAAUGGGGACAACAGUGAAUAAAUGUGUACGUCAUUUAUUUAGUAAGCAUGCUGAACCGAUGUGAAUAUACAUAUCAGUUCGACAGUGAACAGACGCUGUUUGUAUUUUUCGAUUUUAACGAUGACAAAUCGUUCAUACGGCAUGAGAAUAAUCAGUCUAUCGUGUGGUUAGACAAUACUUGUACAACGUGUACCAAGAAACCAUUAUUUAUUGUGCUUACAAGACCUUUCCUCACUGAAAAUACUGUUAAUAACCCAAAACAUCCGUUUUGAAGUCAUUGCGACAUUGUAAAAUGAUCAUCGAACAGAACGAAUGUCUACGGAACACUUGAUUAAGUGUGCUGCCAUCAAAUAUGGAUGAACAAUGACAUUUAAACAGUUCUGUGAAGAAAUAUCUGAGCUCGAACCAUGACAUGACAAAAAUCUUUUGGAAAUAUAUGCAAGUAAAGAGUGAGACACCAAAUUUGUAAAAGACAUAUGAAGCAAAUGAACAGCAAGUUCCGUAAGCUGCAAACAUUUGGAAGAAUUUGUACGAUGUACUGCAUGCAUGGGACAUUGAUGAAUUUAUAUUUCUUGGUCAUUUUUUAGGUCCCCUUUUCGUGAAAACUAUAAAUCUAUUGCUUUAAGCCUUUGUACAUGUCUUUACUAUCAGUUAGGGAGUAAAAAGGACACGAAACAUAACAAUUUUUAUUGCAUAUUGUUAAUUGUCAAUCAAUUACAGACAAGGGUAAGCACCUGGUUCAUAAUAUUUUGGCAUAUCUUAAUAUAUGUCUGGUUAAAUAUUGUCUACAAGAUGUUGAUUAAGCUUAUAAUAGCAUGUCGUUUUGACAGUUUUAGAUGCUGGCAAAGCAAAAUGCGUUUAGAAAAGAACAUGUCAGAAAUGUAAAUGUUAUAUGUCUUUUACUGAGGUUAGAAACAAUGAAAAAUAUAUCUAUUUUGGACCAAUUGUUGCCCGUUUAGAUUGAUAGGUUUUCAUUGAAAACAGCUGAAACAGAAGGACAAAUAGAAAAUUAUUUCGUUUGUAACAUGUAUUGUAAACUGCAGUAACUUCAAAAAAUAAUCUGUAAUUAAUCACAAUAUUUUGAAGUAACACAUUUA
Mercenaria mercenaria is the source of this 3513-nucleotide long non-coding RNA. RefSeq lists it as uncharacterized. The transcript is spliced from 5 exons. Lineage: Eukaryota; Metazoa; Mollusca; Bivalvia; Venerida; Veneridae. The record is from RefSeq and is a predicted model, not a curated record.